GAUCAGAAUACAAACGGCUUAAAAAAAUCUUUCACUUUCACGUGAAGUUUUUCCGGAAAACCUCGUUUUUGUUUUCGGAAAUUUUAAUCCCAUUUUAUUGUUAUACAUCUAUUUAACCACCCGGAGUGCAUAUUUAUAUUGUCCGCGAAUAAAACGUAUUUCCGGGGCCGGGCAACGCACCUAACAAUUCGGUCGGGUCUCCGACGUGCGGGCUCGUAGUC
Molecule: non-coding RNA, 221 nt
Organism: Cinara cedri
Lineage: Eukaryota; Metazoa; Arthropoda; Insecta; Hemiptera; Aphididae
Source: the annotation of a GenBank genome assembly